Molecule: ribosomal RNA, 1343 nt
Filed under: uncultured bacterium
Lineage: Bacteria
Description: 16S ribosomal RNA
Rfam family: Bacterial small subunit ribosomal RNA
Source: RNAcentral
GACGAACGCUGGCGGCGUGCUUAACACAUGCAAGUCGAACGGAAAGGCCCUGCUUUUGUGGGGUGCUCGAGUGGCGAACGGGUGAGUAACACGUGAGUAACCUGCCCUUGACUUUGGGAUAACUUCAGGAAACUGGGGCUAAUACCGGAUAGGAGCUCCUGCUGCAUGGUGGGGGUUGGAAAGUUUCGGCGGUUGGGGAUGGACUCGCGGCUUAUCAGCUUGUUGGUGGGGUAGUGGCUUACCAAGGCUUUGACGGGUAGCCGGCCUGAGAGGGUGACCGGCCACAUUGGGACUGAGAUACGGCCCAGACUCCUACGGGAGGCAGCAGUGGGGAAUAUUGCACAAUGGGCGGAAGCCUGAUGCAGCAACGCCGCGUGCGGGAUGACGGCCUUCGGGUUGUAAACCGCUUUCGCCUGUGACGAAGCGUGAGUGACGGUAAUGGGUAAAGAAGCACCGGCUAACUACGUGCCAGCAGCCGCGGUGAUACGUAGGGUGCGAGCGUUGUCCGGAUUUAUUGGGCGUAAAGGGCUCAUAGGUGGUUGAUCGCGUCGGAAGUGUAAUCUUGGGGCUUAACCCUGAGCGUGCUUUCGAUACGGGUUGACUUGAGGAAGGUAGGGGAGAAUGGAAUUCCUGGUGGAGCGGUGGAAUGCGCAGAUAUCAGGAGGAACACCAGUGGCGAAGGCGGUUCUCUGGGCCUUUCCUGACGCUGAGGAGCGAAAGCGUGGGGAGCGAACAGGCUUAGAUACCCUGGUAGCCCACGCUGUAAACGGUGGGUACUAGGUGUGGGGUCCAUUCCACGGGUUCCGUGCCGUAGCUAACGCUUUAAGUACCCCGCCUGGGGAGUACGGCCGCAAGGCUAAAACUCAAAGGAAUUGACGGGGCCCCGCACAAGCGGCGGAGCAUGCGGAUUAAUUCGAUGCAACGCGUAGAACCUUACCUGGGUUUGACAUGGAUCGGGAGUGCUCAGAGAUGGGUGUGCCUCUUUUGGGGUCGGUUCACAGGUGGUGCAUGGCUGUCGUCAGCUCGUGUCGUGAGAUGUUGGGUUAAGUCCCGCAACGAGCGCAACCCUUGUUCACUGUUGUCAGCACGUUAUGGUGGGGACUCAGUGGAGACCGCCGGGGUCAACUCGGAGGAAGGUGGGGAUGACGUCAAGUCAUCAUGCCCCUUAUGUCCAGGGCUUCACGCAUGCUACAAUGGCUGGUACAGAGAGUGGCGAGCCUGUGAGGGUGAGCGAAUCUCGGAAAGCCGGUCUCAGUUCGGAUUGGGGUCUGCAACUCGACCUCAUGAAGUCGGAGUCGCUAGUAAUCGCAGAUCAGCAACGCUGCGGUGAAUACGUUCCCGGG